GCAAAGGUAGCUCAGCGAAAAUGCCUCUCGGAGAAAGGCAAGGUGACAAGAGCGAGUCACGGUAUUGUGGCAUCGAAACGGAGUUCAACGAUGAUAUGCCACACGUCCUCGCUUUCAAUCUCUCGUCCGGUGGCUUCGAUUUCUUUAUUGCCCCUCUGAUGGAUCCUGCUUAUCGGCCAAGUUUAGUUCAAAAGGAUAGUGCAGAGUCUGGUCUUCUACCAUUUGCUGGGUCAGACCUGGUCAUGAGUCCAUCCCAGUAGAGCAGUCAUGUUGUUGGAAAAAUUAGCUCGUGGAUAGAUUUGGAUUCAGAAGAUGAAACCAUUAGGAUGGAUUCUGAGACCACUCUUAAGCAAGAAAUAGCUUGGGCCUCUCAUCUCUCUUUACAAGCUUGCUUACUUCCAGCACCAAAGGUAAUAUCUUGUGCCCAAUUAUGCUAGGUGUGUAAAUCAAAUUUUAGAGGGCCUAAGCAAUAUGCAGGUGCUAUUCUAAGUUCAAGCUCUAUGUCCAAUCCAUUAGC
Non-coding RNA from Arachis ipaensis, 517 nucleotides. Lineage: Eukaryota; Viridiplantae; Streptophyta; Magnoliopsida; Fabales; Fabaceae. The record is from RefSeq and is a predicted model, not a curated record.